This is a long non-coding RNA of Corylus avellana, 1361 nucleotides long. RefSeq lists it as uncharacterized. The record is from RefSeq and is a predicted model, not a curated record. Lineage: Eukaryota; Viridiplantae; Streptophyta; Magnoliopsida; Fagales; Betulaceae.
UCCAUUUUAUUUCCCCCCAAAAUUUUCCCCAAACCAUUCUCCCUCCCAUUCUCCCUCCAAACCAACCAUUUCUCCCCCCACCGGCACCGUCGUCGGCGCCGUCAUCUCCUCUCCCCACCGUUACUGCCACCGACGACCCCAAACCCUUUCUCCCGAGAAUCACAUUUCAUUUCCCCCCUUUUUCUCCCCAACCCAUUUUCUUCCCCCACCGGCACCGUGAGUCUUCUCCUCUCCCCACCGUCACUGCCGCCGAUGAGCCCAAAACCACCCCACAGUGCGAUGACCAGCUCUACCACGCCUGGGACCCUCACCGACCCGGCCCAUUGGCAUUGCCGUUAAGGUCAACAGCGCAGACUCCGAUAUCGCCUUCAAUUGCGCCAGGCGGCCUCCACCACGCCAAGAAGGCCAAGGCCUCUUGCUCUUUGAGACUUUUACAAGGUUGAAAAACCAAGGCAAAGUUAGAAAGCCAUUUCAUUUUGAUUUUAUUUCCACAUCUGUCACUUUCUGCUUUGUCUAUUACGUUUCAAUUUCGUUCUCAAAUUUUUCAUGGGCUCUCAAAUUUUUCAUUGCUUAUUCUCUAUUUCAAAUGGGUUGUUGGUAUUUUCUUUGUGAAAAGGAAGCUUCGUUUCUGAGAAAGACCGAGUGAGAAUUAAUGAUAAAAUAUAUGUCCUGGAGUUUUCUAGUGCUUAGCUCUUCUUAUCCUUUCACCUGUUCCAAAAAUCUCCUCUUCAUCAAUGUCUCUCUCAGUGAAUGCAGCAACAUUGGGGGUGAACAUCUUCCAAUGCGCUCUCCAGAUCUUUGGGCUUGUGAGAAGCCUUUUUUUUUUUUUUUUUUGGAGAAUUCAUUCACAUGACAUCAUCUUGUUGGAAUUGUUGAGAUUGAUGAGGUGAAUUACAAGAGGGGAACAUAUCAAAGUAGAGGGUUUGGGUUUAUCACUAUGAGUACUGUAGAAGAAGCUGAGAAGGUUGUGGAGAUGUUCCACCAUUAUCUUCAUCUGAAGGCCAUUCAUGCUGUAUUGCAUCAGUUGUAGUCUUCGGCAUAGCCAUGAUGGGCCUCAACUUCUUGUAUAUUCAAUAUAUCCCUUUGCAUGUUCUGGUUGCACAAAACCCCUUAAUGUAAUCAGACUCAUGGGAUCGCAGGUUCUCAACGUUUUCUAUGAUGAGUUGCUUGGUUGCUUAUUGUAAAUUAUUGGUGUACAAAUUCAUUACUAAAAUGUAUUCAAGUGAUACCCUAAAUAGGCUUAUUUUAUUAUUUUGCAAGUAUUUCGCAUGUUUGCCAAAAGGAAGAGGUUACAUUUUUCCUUUUAUGGGUCAACUGUAAACUAAUGUUGCAAGCUUGUAAAAUUCUCUUUGUUCUGUUUU